This 746-nucleotide ribosomal RNA is filed under the name uncultured prokaryote. RNAcentral describes it as "bacterial SSU rRNA". It matches the Rfam family "Archaeal small subunit ribosomal RNA", at positions 1 to 731 of the family's 1478-position model. The record is from RNAcentral.
UNCCGGUUGAUCCUGCCGGACUCCACUGCUAUCGGGGUAAGGCUAAGCCAUGCAAGUCGAAGGCCUCCGGCUCCGGGGGCCUGGCGUACGGCUGAGUAACGCGUGGCCAACCUGCCCUGCGGAGGGGGAUAACCCCGGGAAACUGGGGAUAAACCCCCAUAGGUGACCGGGUCUGGAAGGACCGGUCGCCGAAAGUCCCGGUCGGGGAUGCUCCGGCCGGGAGCCGCAGGAUGGGGCUGCGUCCUAUCAGGUAGUUGGUGGGGUAACGGCCCACCAAGCCUGUGACGGGUAGGGGCCCUGAGAGGGGGAGCCCCCAGAUGGACUCUGAGACAAGAGUCCAGGCCCUACGGGGCGCAGCAGGCGCGAAAACUCCGCAAUGGGCGAAAGCCCGACGGGGUUACCCCGAGUGCCACCCUCGUGGUGGCUUUUGCCCGCUCUAAAAAGGCGGGCGAAUAAGGGGAGGGCAAGUCGGGUGUCAGCCGCCGCGGUAAUACCCGCUCCCCGAGUGGUGGAGGCUAUUACUGGGCCUAAAGCGCCCGUAGCCGGCCCGGUGUGUCCCUCGUUAAAUCCACGGGCUUAACCCGUGGGCUGCGGGGGAUACUACCGGGCUUGGGGGUGGGAGAGGCGCCCGGUAUUCCCGGGGUAGGGGUAAAAUCCUCUGAUCCCGGGAGGACCAUCAGUGGCGAAGCGGGGCGCCAGACACGCCCGACGGUGAGGGGCGAAAGCUGGGGGAGCAAACGGGAUUA